UUUACCCAAAGGGUUAUUCUAUUUAAAGACAUUACUGCUGCAUCGCCUCUAUAUUUUACAAGAUAAUACUUCGCAUACAGGAUGUGCUCCUGAAACUCCCCAGAUGAAUGUUUGGCCUCCAACAAAGCCUUCGAGGGCUAAGCUGCAGGACUUCAACCGCCUUCAGAAUACCAAGCGUCGGCGUCUGCGGCUCCGCGUGCGUCCUCCGGGCGCCGUGGUUUCAUUUGGCGCGGCCCUCGUGUGGUAAUGCAUCAUCCAGGUCUCCGUCCGCACCGCGCGAACGCCCCGCGACCGUCCUGACCGGCGGCUCGCGCGUGGCCACCGACUCCCC
RNAcentral lists this long non-coding RNA (331 nucleotides) under Betta splendens (Siamese fighting fish). RNAcentral describes it as "lncRNA (ENSBSLG00000010336.1)". Lineage: Eukaryota; Metazoa; Chordata; Actinopteri; Anabantiformes; Osphronemidae. The record is from RNAcentral.